CCAUGCGAUAGAGCCAGCUGG
RNAcentral lists this unclassified non-coding RNA (21 nucleotides) under Chlamydomonas reinhardtii. RNAcentral describes it as "small RNA Cre_1026". Lineage: Eukaryota; Viridiplantae; Chlorophyta; Chlorophyceae; Chlamydomonadales; Chlamydomonadaceae. The record is from RNAcentral.